CUCUUAUCGAGAGUGGUGGAGGGAUGUGCCCUACGAAGCCCGGCAACCGUCUUAUAUAGAAAUGGUGCCAAUUCACAUAAAGUUUUAACUUUUGAAGAUGAGAG
Molecule: regulatory RNA element, 104 nt
Organism: Staphylococcus aureus subsp. aureus NCTC 8325
Lineage: Bacteria; Bacillati; Bacillota; Bacilli; Caryophanales; Staphylococcaceae
Rfam family: SAM riboswitch aptamer (S box leader)
About the family: The SAM riboswitch is found upstream of a number of genes which code for proteins involved in methionine or cysteine biosynthesis in Gram-positive bacteria. The SAM riboswitch acts at the level of transcription termination control. The predicted structure consists of a complex stem-loop region followed by a single stem loop terminator region.
Source: Rfam